GCGUUAUCUGAGUGAUGACCUGGAAUCUGAUCAACCAGAUCAACACCAACACUGAAGAAGCAAAAUAUUAAAGUGUGUACAUUUGUGGACCGAUUACGUCACAGCAACACGACGAAGGCUAUCCGAAUUCUAAGGCUCCUCCAGAUGCGGCUCACACGUGCAUCCUUCGUUUCCCAUUUUUUGAAAGGGUUGCAAGUAUCCCGGGUCAGGAGAGGGAGAGAGUGGGAAGCUCACUGCUGCUGCUGGGCCCUGGGCCAAGUGCAGCAGUGGGUAACCAAGAGGAGGAGGAGGAAAGUCAGCCAGCACCACCAGGAGUGAGAAAGAGAGACUGAGAAGAAGAGCUGAUUGAGUUAUUG
Long non-coding RNA from Brienomyrus brachyistius, 356 nucleotides. RefSeq lists it as uncharacterized. The record is from RefSeq and is a predicted model, not a curated record. The transcript is spliced from 3 exons. Lineage: Eukaryota; Metazoa; Chordata; Actinopteri; Osteoglossiformes; Mormyridae.